AUCAACUUUCGAUGGUAGGAUAGAGGCCUACCAUGGUGGUAACGGGUAACGGGGUGUUAGGGCACGACACCGGAGAGGGAGCCUGAGAAACGGCUACCACAUCCAAGGAUGGCAGCAGGCGCGCAAAUUACCCAAUCCCGACACGGGGAGGUAGUGACAAUAAAUAACAAUACGGGGUUCUUUCGGAUCUCGUAAUUGGAAUGAGUACAAUUUAAAUCUCUUAACGAGGAACAAUUGGAGGGCAAGUCUGGUGCCAGCAGCCGCGGUAAUUCCAGCUCCAAUAGCGUAUAUUAAAGUUGUUGCAGUUAAAAAGCUCGUAGUUGAACUUCGGGACCAAUUUGUUGGUCGUGCCUCGGUACGUACUGGUAUUAUUGGUUUCUCCCUUCUGAAGAACCUCGAUGUCAUUAAUUUGGUGUCGUGGGGAAUCAGGACUGUUACUUUGAAAAAAUUAGAGUGUUUAAAGCAGGCAUACGCUUGAAUACAUUAGCAUGGAAUAAUGAAAUAGGACGUUUGAUUCUAUUUUGUUGGUUUCCAGGAUCGACGUAAUGAUUAAUAGGGAUAGUUGGGGGCAUUAGUAUUCAAUUGUCAGAGGUGAAAUUCUUGGAUUUAUUGAAGACUAACUACUGCGAAAGCAUUUGCCAAGGAUGUUUUCAUUAAUCAAGAACGAAAGUUAGGGGAUCGAAGACGAUCAGAUACCGUCGUAGUCUUAACCAUAAACUAUGCCGACUAGGGAUCGGAUGAUGUUAAUUUUUUAAUGACUCAUUCGGCACCUUACGGGAAACCAAAGUGUUUGGGUUC
This 798-nucleotide ribosomal RNA is filed under the name uncultured Glomeraceae. RNAcentral's name for it is "SSU rRNA". It matches the Rfam family "Eukaryotic small subunit ribosomal RNA", at positions 314 to 1114 of the family's 1831-position model. Lineage: Eukaryota; Fungi; Glomeromycota; Glomeromycetes; Glomerales; Glomeraceae. The record is from RNAcentral.